GGCACACUUUACAGAGCUCAAAAAUUGGCCUUGGCCUAUUCUGGUAGCAGUUGUCUACCUCACUCCUGAAAAAAUUAUCUAUGCAUUAUUUUUGGCAUACUGACACAGAGCUGAAUCACUUUAAAGAGAAGGACCAGAUUCUCAUGGACCCUACUGCCAUGCUGGACAGACAGCUUGCUGCCAUUGUUUUCUUGUUAUUUACUCCCAAACAGGUAAAUAUCCAGAGACUAAAAGGAGUUAUGCUAUAAAUAAGUUUUUGUAUGUGUGUGAGUGUGUGUGCAUGUAUUAUAG
RNAcentral lists this long non-coding RNA (291 nucleotides) under Macaca fascicularis (crab-eating macaque). RNAcentral describes it as "lncRNA (ENSMFAG00000059377.1)". The record is from RNAcentral. Lineage: Eukaryota; Metazoa; Chordata; Mammalia; Primates; Cercopithecidae.